This 771-nucleotide ribosomal RNA is filed under the name uncultured Neocallimastigales. RNAcentral's name for it is "partial large subunit ribosomal RNA". It matches the Rfam family "Eukaryotic large subunit ribosomal RNA", at positions 26 to 637 of the family's 3401-position model. The record is from RNAcentral. Lineage: Eukaryota; Fungi; Neocallimastigomycota; Neocallimastigomycetes; Neocallimastigales.
CGCAUCUGUGCAUGCAGCAUAUCAAUAAGCGGAGGAAAAGAAACUAACAAGGAUUCCCCCAGUAACGGCGAGUGAAGCGGGAAGAGCUCAAAUUUGAAAUCUUGAAAGGUCACCUUUCACGAAUUGUAGUUUAAAGAAGUGUUUUCUGUUACGAUCGUAAUAUAAGUUCUUUGGAAUAGGACAUCACAGAGGGUGAGAAUCCCGUCUAUGAUUGCGAUUUGUAGCUUUGUGAUACACUUUCAAAGAGUCGGGUUGUUUGGGAAUGCAGCCCAAGACGGGAGGUAAAUUUCUUCUAAGGCUAAAUAUUGGCGAGAGACCGAUAGCGAACAAGUACCGUGAGGGAAAGAUGAAAAGAACUUUGAAAAGAGAGUUAAAUAGUACGUGAAAUUGUCAAAAGGGAAGCGUUUAACACCAGUGUUGUUUUCUGAAAAUCAACCUCUGUUAGCUUUAUGCAUGUUUGUUUAGACCUAAUCAGCUAUCUUGCAUGUUCUAUUGUUUGCAGUGGUGCACUUUUCAGUUUACAGGUCAACAUCAGUUUUUUUUACCGUAAAAAAGUUAAAGAAAGGUAGCUCAUGGCUCCGGUCGUGAGUGUUAUAGUCUUUUUCCUAUGCGGUAGGAGAGACUGAGGUCUGCAGUGUAGGCUAUUUGGCUAGAUACUCAGGUGCUAUGUGAUACCAUUUCAUAAACAACUUGUUGAUUAUGUUUUGUCUAUUGCAUACUCGCUUGUACUAUCAUACCUACGCUUAGGAUGUUGACGAUCAGCUGAGCGCG